This 465-nucleotide ribosomal RNA is filed under the name uncultured bacterium. RNAcentral's name for it is "partial 16S ribosomal RNA". It matches the Rfam family "Bacterial small subunit ribosomal RNA", at positions 28 to 507 of the family's 1533-position model. The record is from RNAcentral.
GACGAACGCUGGCGGCGUGCUUAACACAUGCAAGUCGAACGGAAAGGCCCUGCUUGCAGGGUACUCGAGUGGCGAACGGGUGAGUAACACGUGGGUGAUCUGCCCUGCACUUCGGGAUAAGCUUGUGAAACUGGGUCUAAUACCGGAUAGGAACCAUCUUUAGUGUGGUGGUUGGAAAGUUUUUUCGGUGUAGGAUGAGCUCGCGGCCUAUCAGCUUGUUGGUGGGGUAAUGGCCUACCAAGGCGGCGACGGGUAGCCGGCCUGAGAGGGUGUACGGCCACAUUGGGACUGAGAUACGGCCCAGACUGCUACGGGAGGCAGCAGGGGGGAAUACUGCCCAAUGGGCGCAAGGCGGAUGCAGCGGCGCCGCGUGGGGGAUGAAGGCCUUCGGGUUGUAAACUCCUUUCGCUAGGGACGAAGCUUUUUGUGACGGUACCUAGAUAAGAAGCACCGGCUAACUACGUG